GAUGAACGCUGGCGGCGUGCCUAAUACAUGCAAGUCGAGCGAAUGGAUUAAGAGCUUGCUCUUAUGAAGUUAGCGGCGGUCGGGUGAGUAACACGUGGGUAACCUGCCCAUAAGACUGGGAUAACUCCGGGAAACCGGGGCUAAUACCGGAUAACAUUUUGAACCGCAUGGUUCGAAAUUGAAAGGCGGCUUCGGCUGUCACUUAUGGAUGGACCCGCGUCGCAUUAGCUAGUUGGUGAGGUAACGGCUCACCAAGGCAACGAUGCGUAGCCGACCUGAGAGGGUGAUCGGCCACACUGGGACUGGGACACGGCCCAGACUCCUACGGGAGGCAGCAGUAGGGAAUCUUCCGCAAUGGACGAAAGUCUGACGGAGCAACGCCGCGUGAGUGAUGAAGGCUUUCGGGUCGUAAAACUCUGUCGUUAGGGAAGAACAAGUGCUAGUUGAAUAAGCUGGCACCUUGACGGUACCUAACCAGAAAGCCACGGCUAACUACGUGCCAGCCGCCGCCGUAA
RNAcentral lists this ribosomal RNA (515 nucleotides) under uncultured bacterium. RNAcentral describes it as "partial 16S ribosomal RNA". It matches the Rfam family "Bacterial small subunit ribosomal RNA", at positions 28 to 523 of the family's 1533-position model. The record is from RNAcentral.